AUUGAACGCUGGCGGCAUGCCUUACACAUGCAAGUCGAACGGCAGCACGGGUGCUUGCACCUGGUGGCGAGUGGCGAACGGGUGAGUAAUAUAUCGGAACGUACCUUAUCGUGGGGGAUAACGCAGCGAAAGCUGCGCUAAUACCGCAUACGCCCUGAGGGGGAAAGCGGGGGACCGUAAGGCCUCGCGCGAUUAGAGCGGCCGAUAUCUGAUUAGCUUGUUGGUGGGGUAAAAGCCCACCAAGGCGACGAUCAGUAGCUGGUCUGAGAGGACGAUCAGCCACACUGGGACUGAGACACGGUCCAGACUCCUACGGGAGGCAGCAGUGGGGAAUUUUCCGCAAUGGGCGAAAGCCUGACGGAGCAAUCUCGCGUGGGGGAUGACGGCCUAUGGGUUGUAAACCUCUUUUUUCAGGGAGGAACAAAAUGACGUGUACCUGAAGAAUAAGCAUCGGCUAACUCCGUG
Molecule: ribosomal RNA, 465 nt
Filed under: uncultured bacterium
Lineage: Bacteria
Description: bacterial SSU rRNA
Rfam family: Bacterial small subunit ribosomal RNA
Source: RNAcentral